Molecule: ribosomal RNA, 487 nt
Filed under: uncultured bacterium
Lineage: Bacteria
Description: bacterial SSU rRNA
Rfam family: Bacterial small subunit ribosomal RNA
Source: RNAcentral
UCGAGCGGCAGCGCGGGGGCAACCCUGGGCGGCGAGCGGCGAACGGGUGAGUAAUGCAUCGGAACGUGUCCUCUUGUGGGGGAUAACCAGUCGAAAGAUUGGCUAAUACCGCAUGAGAUCGAGAGAUGAAAGCAGGGAACCGCAAGGCCUCGCGCGAGAGGAGCGGCCGAUGCCGGAUUAGCUAAUUGGUGGGGUAAAAGCCUACCAAGGCGACGAUCCGUAGCUGGUCUGAGAGGACGACCAGCCACACUGGGACUGAGACACGGCCCAGACUCCUACGGGAGGCAGCAGUGGGGAAUUUUGGACAAUGGGGGCAACCCUGAUCCAGCCAUGCCGCGUGUGUGAAGAAGGCCUUCGGGUUGUAAAGCACUUUCGGACGGAACGAAAUCGCGCGAUCUAAUAAGUCGCGUGGAUGACGGUACCGUAAGAAGAAGCACCGGCUAACUACGUGCCAGCAGCCGCGGUAAUACGUAGGGUGCGAGCGUUA